Long non-coding RNA from Sinocyclocheilus rhinocerous, 323 nucleotides. Lineage: Eukaryota; Metazoa; Chordata; Actinopteri; Cypriniformes; Cyprinidae. The record is from Ensembl.
GUCUGUGUGACUUCUAGUGUUACAAUUAUCUUUGGAGAAGGGACAAAAUUAACAGUACAAUCAAAGAAAGUAGAAACACCAGCCUAUUACAGAUUUAAUAAGUCAUGUUUGGCAACCGACUUCACAAAACAUGAUGCUGUAAACUUCAUAGACGUUACACCAGUGCGAUAUUCAGGCCAAAAUUACUACAGCAGCUUCACCUUUAAUGAUUCAGAAGCCUGCCCAGAAAAAGACUGUAAGUCAGGAUCAUCUGGUCAAAAUGCUGAUUUUGAAACCGGUAAGUGUGCUUUUAUUUGCACAUUUAUAUAGUCUGCUGUGCGUUU